RNAcentral lists this transfer RNA (72 nucleotides) under Jaapia argillacea MUCL 33604. RNAcentral describes it as "tRNA-Arg (ACG) (tRNA-Arg-ACG-3-1)". It matches the Rfam family "tRNA". From Rfam's summary of the family: Transfer RNA (tRNA) molecules are approximately 80 nucleotides in length. Their secondary structure includes four short double-helical elements and three loops (D, anti-codon, and T loops). Lineage: Eukaryota; Fungi; Basidiomycota; Agaricomycetes; Jaapiales; Jaapiaceae. The record is from RNAcentral.
GGCCGCCUGGCGAAAUGGCAUCGCGUCUGACUACGAAUCAGGAGACUGCAGGUUCGACCCCUGCGGUGGUCA